Molecule: ribosomal RNA, 581 nt
Filed under: Leptolyngbya sp. C143
Lineage: Bacteria; Bacillati; Cyanobacteriota; Cyanophyceae; Leptolyngbyales; Leptolyngbyaceae
Description: bacterial SSU rRNA
Rfam family: Bacterial small subunit ribosomal RNA
Source: RNAcentral
AAACGGUCGCUAAUACCCAAUGUGCCGAGAGAGUGAAACUUAUAUGGCCUGAAGAUGAGCUCGCGUCUGAUUAGCUAGUUGGAGUGGUAACGGCACCCCCAGGCGACGAUCAGUAGCUGGUCUGAGAGAGAUGAUCAGCCACACUGGGACUGAGACCCCGCCCAGACUUCUACCGGAGGCAGCAGUUGGGAAUUUUUCGCAAUGGGCGAAAGCCCGACGGAGCAAGUCCGCCUGAGGGAGGAAGGCCUCCUGGUUGUAAACCUCUUUUUAUCGGGAAGAAAGCAAUGACGGUACCUAUCGAAUCAGCCUCGGCUAAUUCCUUGCCAGCAGCCGCGGUAAUACGGAGGAGGCAAGCGUUAUCCGGAAUUAUUGGGCGUAAAGCGUCCGUAGGUGGCGAACCAAGUCAGUUGUUAAAGCGUGGAGCUUAACUCCAUAUCAGCAAUUGAAACUGGUAGGCUAGAGUGCGAUAGGGGCAAGGGGAAUUCCCAGGGUAGCGGGAAAAGGGUUAGAUAUUGGGAAGAACAUCGGUGGCGAAAGCGCCUUGCUGGGUCGGCACUGACCCUGACGGGACGAGAGCACGG